RNAcentral lists this unclassified non-coding RNA (293 nucleotides) under fungal sp. RNAcentral's name for it is "partial internal transcribed spacer region". The stretch from base 1 to 45 matches the Rfam family "Eukaryotic small subunit ribosomal RNA", at positions 1787 to 1831 of the family's 1831-position model. The record is from RNAcentral. Lineage: Eukaryota; Fungi.
AGUCGUAACAAGGUAUCCGUAGGUGAACCUGCGGAUGGAUCAUUAACACAUUUACACAUCCACAAAAACCAAACCCACGCGUAGAUUGUUGAAGUACUUUUUUUCCGAAACCACCUUUUGAACAAAAACGCUUACACAAAAACGAACUCGCCUUUUUAAGACGACAGUCACGCGGUGUUUUUUCCCCGUGUGGGAGCGAAAACGCGUGUGAUUGCAUUCUUAUACAGAAAAAGUGCGAGUUCGAUCGUUUAAACAUAAAAAACAACUUUUAACAAUGGAUAUCUUGGCUCCAA